RNAcentral lists this ribosomal RNA (465 nucleotides) under uncultured bacterium. RNAcentral's name for it is "partial 16S ribosomal RNA". It matches the Rfam family "Bacterial small subunit ribosomal RNA", at positions 338 to 795 of the family's 1533-position model. The record is from RNAcentral.
CCUACGGGGUGCAGCAGUGGGGAAUAUUGCGCAAUGGGCGAAAGCCUGACGCAGCGACGCCGCGUGAGGGAUGAAGGUCUUCGGAUCGUAAACCUCUGUCAGCAGGGAAGAACGGUCACUGUGCUAAUCAGCAGUGAAUUGACGGUACCUGCAAAGGAAGCACCGGCUAACUCCGUGCCAGCAGCCGCGGUAAUACGGAGGGUGCGAGCGUUAAUCGGAAGUACUGGGCGUAAAGCGCUCGUAGGCGGUAUGUCAAGUCAAGGGUGAAAUCUCCGCGCUCAACGUGGGGACUGCCUUUGAAACUGGCGAACUGGAGUGUGGGAGAGGAUAGUGGAAUUCCUGGUGUAGGAGUGAAAUCCGUAGAUAUCUGGAGGAACAUCAGUGGCGAAGGCGACUAUCUGGCACAUAACUGACGCUGAGGAGCGAAAGCGUGGGUAGCAAACAGGAUUAGAUACCCCAGUAGUC